GGCUAUACCACCCUGAAUGCACCUGAUCUCGUCUGAUCUUGGAAGCUAAGCAAGGUCAGGCCUGGUACUCGGAUGGGAGAAAAACAGAAGAAAACACCU
This 99-nucleotide ribosomal RNA is filed under the name Propithecus coquereli (Coquerel's sifaka). Lineage: Eukaryota; Metazoa; Chordata; Mammalia; Primates; Indriidae. The record is from RNAcentral.